CAGCCGCCACGGUAAUACGUAUGUCACAAGCGUUAUCCGGAUUUAUUGGGCGUAAAGCGCGUCUAGGUGGUUAUGUAAGUCUGACGUGAAAAUGCAGGGCUCAACUCUGUAUUGCGUUGGAAACUGUGUAACUAGAGUACUGGAGAGGUAAGCGGAACUACAAGUGUAGAGGUGAAAUUCGUAGAUAUUUGUAGGAAUGCCGAUGGGGAAGCCAGCUUACUGGACAGAUACUGACGCUAAAGCGCGAAAGCGUGGGUAGCAAACAGGAUUAGAUACCCCCGUAGUCCCUGUCUCUUAUACA
This 301-nucleotide ribosomal RNA is filed under the name uncultured bacterium. RNAcentral's name for it is "partial 16S ribosomal RNA". It matches the Rfam family "Bacterial small subunit ribosomal RNA", at positions 509 to 808 of the family's 1533-position model. The record is from RNAcentral.